Molecule: ribosomal RNA, 257 nt
Filed under: uncultured bacterium
Lineage: Bacteria
Description: partial 16S ribosomal RNA
Rfam family: Bacterial small subunit ribosomal RNA
Source: RNAcentral
UACGGAGGGUGCAAGCGUUGCUCGGAAUUAUUGGGCGUAAAGGGUAGGUAGGUGGUCUCAUUUGUCGGGGGUGAAAGCCUUGGGCUUAACUCAAGAAGUGCCCCCGAAACGGUGAGACUCGGAGUCCUGGAGAGGCGAGUGGAAUUCCCGGUGUAGCGGUGAAAUGCGUAGAGAUCGGGAGGAACACCAGAGGCGAAGGCGGCUCGCUGGACGAGGCACUGGCACUCAACGUACGAAAAGCGUGGGGAGCAAACAGG